Long non-coding RNA from Bombus huntii, 360 nucleotides. RefSeq lists it as uncharacterized. The transcript has 2 exons. The record is from RefSeq and is a predicted model, not a curated record. NCBI's taxonomy places the organism in Eukaryota, Metazoa, Arthropoda, Insecta, Hymenoptera, Apidae.
UGCUGUACCGUGGGAAUUACCGGUGUUUCUUCGGCGCGUGCAAAGGCUGGCGGCCGCAGCAUCAUUAUCACUUCGAUGCUCGCUCGGGCAACACGCGCAACUCCGCUGCUCUCCCACAACAAGGACCUCCUUCUUUGAGUUAUUUUUCGCUUCGGUGAUCGACGUUCGGACAAUGUUUGCGGAGGCAUUUCCAUCAGAGGUUCCUUAUUAUUAUUAUUUUUAGAUGUAUCUUGUUUUUAUGUACGAUAUAUACAUAUAUAUAUAUAUAUAUAUAUAUAUAUAUAUAUAUAUAUAUAUAUAUAUAUAUUUUAAAUGUGUUAUCUAUUUUAUGUUUGUUAAAUAUAUUUAAUUUUAUAUUUC